CCUACGGGAGGCAGCAGUGGGGAAUAUUGCACAAUGGGGGAAACCCUGAUGCAGCAACGCCGCGUGAGUGAAGAAGUAUUUCGGUAUGUAAAGCUCUAUCAGCAGGGAAGAAGAAAGACGGUAUCUGACUAAGAAGCGCCGGCUAACAACGCGCCAGAAGCCGCGGUAAUACGUAUGGGGCAAGCGUUAUCCGGAUUUACUGGGUGUAAAGGGAGCGUAGACGGCGGUGUAAGUCUGAAGUGAAAGACCGGGGCUCAACCGCGGAACUGCUUUGGAAACUGGAUAGCUUGAGUGCUGGAGAGGCAGGCGGAAUUCCGAGUGUAGCGGUGAAAUGCGUAGAUAUUAGGAGGAACACCAGUGGCGAAGGCGGCCUGCUGGACAGAAACUGACGUUGAGGCUCGAAAGCGUGGGGAGCAAACAGGAUUAGAUACCCCAGUAGUC
RNAcentral lists this ribosomal RNA (441 nucleotides) under uncultured bacterium. Its description in RNAcentral is "partial 16S ribosomal RNA". It matches the Rfam family "Bacterial small subunit ribosomal RNA", at positions 338 to 795 of the family's 1533-position model. The record is from RNAcentral.